AAUACACUUGUUUGCCUUUAAGAUGAUCGGGUACCUAAAUAGAUGUGCAGAGCUCACACAGAAGAGUCAGGACUGCAGUUCUCAGGAAGCCCUUUAUUAAAUCAAGGCAUUAAAGGAAAAACUACUGUUAUUCAUCACGCUUCUCUUCUUCAGGU
Long non-coding RNA from Oxyura jamaicensis (ruddy duck), 155 nucleotides. RefSeq lists it as uncharacterized. The transcript is spliced from 3 exons. The record is from RefSeq and is a predicted model, not a curated record. Lineage: Eukaryota; Metazoa; Chordata; Aves; Anseriformes; Anatidae.